This 566-nucleotide small RNA is filed under the name Pongo abelii (Sumatran orangutan). RNAcentral's name for it is "processed transcript". The record is from RNAcentral. Lineage: Eukaryota; Metazoa; Chordata; Mammalia; Primates; Hominidae.
UCUCAGACAGCCCCAGGCAGGGUCCCCCCCAGCGGCAGGGCCUGUGUGCGUCUUUCCUGCUGCCAGCUGGUGACGUCAGCCCACCGUCUACCGUGUGCAGGGUUCUGGCCAGCUCCAGUGGCUGUUGGAUAAUUAUGAAACGGCGGAAGGUGUGAGUCUCCCCAGAAGUUCUCUUUACAACCACUACCUUCGGCACUGCCAGGAGCACAAGCUAGACCCAGUGAAUGCCGCCUCCUUCGGGAAACUGAUCCGUUCUGUGUUUAUGGGGCUGAGAACGCGGCGGCUGGGCACCAGGGGCAACUCGAAGUACCAUUACUAUGGGAUUCGUCUGAAGCCAGACUCUCCACUGAACCGGCUGCAGGAGGACACGCAGUACAUGGCCAUGCGGCAGCAGCCCAUGCACCAGAAGCCCAGGUACCGGCCAGCCCAGAAGACGGACAGCCUCGGGGACAGCAGCUCCCACAGCGGCCUGCACAGCACUCCAGAACAGACCACGGCCGCGCAGAACCAGCACCACCAGCAGUACAUAGAUGUCUCCCACGUCUUCCCCGAGUUCCCAGCGCCCG